Telopea speciosissima is the source of this 167-nucleotide long non-coding RNA. RefSeq lists it as uncharacterized. Lineage: Eukaryota; Viridiplantae; Streptophyta; Magnoliopsida; Proteales; Proteaceae. The transcript has 3 exons. The record is from RefSeq and is a predicted model, not a curated record.
UAGAAGGCAACCAAAAGAAGGCUUUUGCACUGGCGAUGAGAGGUUGCAGUGUUGCAGUUAAUGUUCAAAUUGGACAUAGGUGCUAAGUUCAUGGAAUUCCAGUAAGUUCUUCAUCUCUAAUCCUAUUACUCCAUUUUGUCAUGGUUCAGGUUGUUUCAGGUAUUUCG